RNAcentral lists this ribosomal RNA (370 nucleotides) under Achromobacter sp. AR476-1. Its description in RNAcentral is "bacterial SSU rRNA". It matches the Rfam family "Bacterial small subunit ribosomal RNA", at positions 288 to 653 of the family's 1533-position model. Lineage: Bacteria; Pseudomonadati; Pseudomonadota; Betaproteobacteria; Burkholderiales; Alcaligenaceae. The record is from RNAcentral.
UGGUUUGAGAGGACGACCAGCCACACUGGGACUGAGACACGGCCCAGACUCCUACGGGAGGCACCCGUGGGGAAUUUUGGACAAUGGGGGAAACCCUGAUCCAGACAUCCCGCGUGUGCGAUGAAGGCCUUCGGGUUGUAAAGCACUUUUGGCAGGAAAGAAACGUCGUGGGUUAAUACCCCGCGAAACUGACGGUACCUGCAGAAUAAGCACCGGCUAACUACGUGCCAGCAGCCGCGGUAAUACGUAGGGUGCAGCGUUAUCGGAAUUACUGGGCGUAAAGCGUGCGCAGGCGGUUCGGAAAGAAAGAUGUGAAAUCCCAGAGCUUAACUUUGGAACUGCAUUUUUACUACCGAGCUAGAGUGUGUCA